This 74-nucleotide transfer RNA is filed under the name Nanobdellota archaeon. Its description in RNAcentral is "tRNA-Met". It matches the Rfam family "tRNA". Rfam says of the family: Transfer RNA (tRNA) molecules are approximately 80 nucleotides in length. The record is from RNAcentral. Lineage: Archaea; Nanobdellati; Nanobdellota.
GGCUCCGUAGCUCAGUUGAUUAGAGCGCUGCUCUCAUGAGGCAGAGGUCGGGAGUUUGAAUCUCCCCGGAGCCA